This 465-nucleotide ribosomal RNA is filed under the name Vreelandella stevensii. Its description in RNAcentral is "partial 16S ribosomal RNA". It matches the Rfam family "Bacterial small subunit ribosomal RNA", at positions 338 to 795 of the family's 1533-position model. The record is from RNAcentral. Lineage: Bacteria; Pseudomonadati; Pseudomonadota; Gammaproteobacteria; Oceanospirillales; Halomonadaceae.
CCUACGGGGUGCAGCAGUGGGGAAUAUUGGACAAUGGGCGAAAGCCUGAUCCAGCCAUGCCGCGUGUGUGAAGAAGGCCUUCGGGUUGUAAAGCACUUUCAGUGGGGAAGAAAGCCUUGGGGCUAAUACCCUCGAGGAAGGACAUCACCCACAGAAGAAGCACCGGCUAACUCCGUGCCAGCAGCCGCGGUAAUACGGAGGGUGCGAGCGUUAAUCGGAAUUACUGGGCGUAAAGCGCGCGUAGGCGGUCUGAUAAGCCGGUUGUGAAAGCCCCGGGCUCAACCUGGGAACGGCAUCCGGAACUGUCAGGCUAGAGUGUAGGAGAGGAAGGUAGAAUUCCCGGUGUAGCGGUGAAAUGCGUAGAGAUCGGGAGGAAUACCAGUGGCGAAGGCGGCCUUCUGGACUGACACUGACGCUGAGGUGCGAAAGCGUGGGUAGCAAACAGGAUUAGAUACCCCGGUAGUC